This 1435-nucleotide ribosomal RNA is filed under the name Streptococcus thermophilus. Its description in RNAcentral is "bacterial SSU rRNA". It matches the Rfam family "Bacterial small subunit ribosomal RNA". The record is from RNAcentral. Lineage: Bacteria; Bacillati; Bacillota; Bacilli; Lactobacillales; Streptococcaceae.
GAACGCUGAAGAGAGGAGCUUGCUCUUCUUGGAUGAGUUGCGAACGGGUGAGUAACGCGUAGGUAACCUGCCUUGUAGCGGGGGAUAACUAUUGGAAACGAUAGCUAAUACCGCAUAACAAUGGAUGACACAUGUCAUUUAUUUGAAAGGGGCAAUUGCUCCACUACAAGAUGGACCUGCGUUGUAUUAGCUAGUAGGUGAGGUAAUGGCUCACCUAGGCGACGAUACAUAGCCGACCUGAGAGGGUGAUCGGCCACACUGGGACUGAGACACGGCCCAGACUCCUACGGGAGGCAGCAGUAGGGAAUCUUCGGCAAUGGGGGCAACCCUGACCGAGCAACGCCGCGUGAGUGAAGAAGGUUUUCGGAUCGUAAAGCUCUGUUGUAAGUCAAGAACGGGUGUGAGAGUGGAAAGUUCACACUGUGACGGUAGCUUACCAGAAAGGGACGGCUAACUACGUGCCAGCAGCCGCGGUAAUACGUAGGUCCCGAGCGUUGUCCGGAUUUAUUGGGCGUAAAGCGAGCGCAGGCGGUUUGAUAAGUCUGAAGUUAAAGGCUGUGGCUCAACCAUAGUUCGCUUUGGAAACUGUCAAACUUGAGUGCAGAAGGGGAGAGUGGAAUUCCAUGUGUAGCGGUGAAAUGCGUAGAUAUAUGGAGGAACACCGGUGGCGAAAGCGGCUCUCUGGUCUGUAACUGACGCUGAGGCUCGAAAGCGUGGGGAGCGAACAGGAUUAGAUACCCUGGUAGUCCACGCCGUAAACGAUGAGUGCUAGUGUUGGAUCCUUUCCGGGAUUCAGUGCCGCAGCUAACGCAUUAAGCACUCCGCCUGGGGAGUACGACCGCAAGGUUGAAACUCAAAGGAAUUGACGGGGGCCCGCACAAGCGGUGGAGCAUGUGGUUUAAUUCGAAGCAACGCGAAGAACCUUACCAGGUCUUGACAUCCCGAUGCUAUUUCUAGAGAUAGAAAGUUACUUCGGUACAUCGGUGACAGGUGGUGCAUGGUUGUCGUCAGCUCGUGUCGUGAGAUGUUGGGUUAAGUCCCGCAACGAGCGCAACCCCUAUUGUUAGUUGCCAUCAUUCAGUUGGGCACUCUAGCGAGACUGCCGGUAAUAAACCGGAGGAAGGUGGGGAUGACGUCAAAUCAUCAUGCCCCUUAUGACCUGGGCUACACACGUGCUACAAUGGUUGGUACAACGAGUUGCGAGUCGGUGACGGCGAGCUAAUCUCUUAAAGCCAAUCUCAGUUCGGAUUGUAGGCUGCAACUCGCCUACAUGAAGUCGGAAUCGCUAGUAAUCGCGGAUCAGCACGCCGCGGUGAAUACGUUCCCGGGCCUUGUACACACCGCCCGUCACACCACGAGAGUUUGUAACACCCGAAGUCGGUGAGGUAACCUUUUGGAGCCAGCCGCCUAAGGUGGGACAGAUGAUUGGGGUGAA